This 510-nucleotide ribosomal RNA is filed under the name uncultured bacterium. RNAcentral's name for it is "partial 16S ribosomal RNA". It matches the Rfam family "Bacterial small subunit ribosomal RNA", at positions 28 to 507 of the family's 1533-position model. The record is from RNAcentral.
GACGAACGCUGGCGGCGUGCUUAACACAUGCAAGUCGAACGAAGAGCGAUGGAAGCUUGCUUCUAUCAAUCUUAGUGGCGAACGGGUGAGUAACGCGUAAUCAACCUGCCCUUCAGAGGGGGACAACAGUUGGAAACGACUGCUAAUACCGCAUACGAUCUAAACUCGGCAUCGAGGAUAGAUGAAAGGUGGCCUCUACAUGUAAGCUAUCACUGAAGGAGGGGAUUGCGUCUGAUUAGCUAGUUGGGGGGGUAACGGCCCACCAAGGCGAUGAUCAGUAGCCGGUCUGGGAGGAUGAACGGCCACAUUGGGACUGAGACACGGCCCAGACUCCUACGGGAGGGAGCAAUGGGGAAUCUUCCGCAAUGGACGAAAGUCUGACGGAGCAACGCCGCGUGGGGGAUGACGGCCUUCGGGUUGUAAAGCUCUGUUAAUCGGGACGAAAGGCCUUCUUGCGAAUAGGGAGAAGGAUUGACGGUACCGGAAUAGAAAGCCACGGCUAACUACGUG